This is a long non-coding RNA of Asparagus officinalis (garden asparagus), 1694 nucleotides long. RefSeq lists it as uncharacterized. The record is from RefSeq and is a predicted model, not a curated record. The transcript is spliced from 2 exons. Lineage: Eukaryota; Viridiplantae; Streptophyta; Magnoliopsida; Asparagales; Asparagaceae.
UUAUUUCUAUCAUGUUUACCUGAAUGUAAUUAAUCCAAUAGAAAAUAUUCCUUAAGCUCCAUUAAACCCAAAACUUCGUCCUCGUUCCCAUUUUCAUGGCGUCUUCUCUCCAUUUCCACUCUCCUCUCCUCCUAAUUCCUAAACCCUAACCCUAUAUCCAAAUCCUCUUCCCAUUUUCUAAGGCCCUAAUCCUCUUGCUCUCUCCCUCUUAAAUAUCAACGACGUUCUCAUUAAAGAUGGAAUCUUUUCGAUCGAAGAGAGCUAGUGUAUUUUUGCCUCUCCAUCAAGAAUGAAAUAGGAGAGGCAGCGGCGGACGAGGAGGCAAUAGGUGGCUUUAGGUCUUUGGUUGCGUAGCUGUGCAAUCAUUUCUAUCGGCCAAUUUGAUAAAAGAUCCUUCAUGCAGCAAUCAUAGUUAUGAUUUUCAUCGUUAAUCUACAAGAUGUUGAAAUUCAACCACAAAAGUUGUUGAAGACCAAUAAUCAUUUGACUAAGUGAAUUGCAUUGUUCGAGGCCAUUAAUCGUUUGACUGAGUAAAUUGGACUUUUUUGCUUGCACACACCUUGGGUGUGAUAUUGUAUAGUAUUGCUAUAUUUGUAGAAAAUACAAAGAAUUUUCUAGAAUCAGAUAUUAAUCAUACAUGAAUAUCUAUGAAAGAGCUAAUGUGGAGUUGUUGGGAAAGCAAAAUACCUUAAAAAUAGAGGAGUUUCUUUGGCUGCAUCGCUGCUCGCCUACCCACUUCUUUCUCUGAAGAUGUGUUAUAUUAUGUAGUCAUUGUUUACUCUUCCUUUUUGUAUAUUUUGAAAAACAUGUUGAACCAGAACCUGAUAAAUUCUCUAUGUCAAACUUUCUAAAUUCAUGAAGAUUUUUGAGAAUUGUUGAUUAUAUAUGCUUAAAUCUCUAAUGAAGAAAUAUUACAUUAUACCAUCAUAUUUCCUGAGAAUGCAACUAAAUUAUGAUUAUGUCUAACCAAUCCUGUUUCUUGUUUCAUUGUGGUGAUUUGCUGCUAGAAUAUGCCUUGGUUACUGUUGGUGCACUGUCAGUGACUUGUCUAAGCUUUUGCUAGGACUUGUGUGUUGUUUCAUUGGUGAUUCAAUUACUGCAUUUAUUUUGUUUAUGAUAUCUAUUCAAGCAUUAAAACUUUUGUUCCUGUUCCAGAGCUUGACAAGAAUUAUCUUUUUGGUAUCUAACAAUGUUGGUCAUUGCUGAAGCUCUCUGACUCAGUGAACUGCAAACCAUAUCUUCUUGGUUUUGCUGCGGUUCGGUCUGUUAAGGGCUAAGGUGCAUGGGUACAGUUACAGGUGUUGGUACUGGUACGGGUAUGCGACACAACAAAUUUGUGAAAAGUAGGGUAUGGGAAUACGGCUGUAAAUACGUAUGUUAUGUAUAUUUAUAUAUAUUAAGAUUAAUAAUUUACAUAAGAUUGAUAUUAUGUUUUCCAUUUACAUGAGAUAAAUUUAUUAUAAAUAGAUGUGGAGUGUAGACUAUACAUCCAAGUAGCGUGUGAGGUGUGUUUUAAAUUAAAACAUGUAUAUACUUGAGUAUAAGCUUGAACAAAUGGGUGCAUAUAUUCAAGAAGUGUCCAUGAAGUUUGGGUACGGGUCCGGGUCCGGGUUCGGUAGGGGUAUUGCUUCCAAAUAGAAGUACCCUGGUAACAUAGGUUAAGGGUUAUGCUUGAGCCAUUCUUUCAGUUACUU